Molecule: unclassified non-coding RNA, 3117 nt
Filed under: Leishmania donovani
Lineage: Eukaryota; Euglenozoa; Kinetoplastea; Trypanosomatida; Trypanosomatidae
Description: gene:LdHU3.36.8010(CDS-product:Nitroreductase_fam ily_putative)
Source: RNAcentral
UGCCUCAAUGGCCAACAGCAGAUCGCACGCUGCACCUUUUUUUUUUGCAUUUUUACUUCCAUUCUGUGUGUGCGCGUGUGCGUGCACCACUCCUUUCUCCAUUUCUUUUCUCGUUCCCUCGGCGCGGCACUCGCCCUUCUGCCUGUGCGAAUCUCUCUGUUGAAGGUGUCCGCUUGCCUCCCGUCACUCUCCCGGCUGCACCGGUAACUCAUAUCGCCACGAGGCAUGCGCUGCUUCUCGACAAAGUCCACGGCCUCUAAGGAAGGUUUCCACGGCAGUGCCAGCGGCAAGGGCAGCAACUCCGUCCCCGUCAAGUCCUCUGCGCUGUUCAUCGAGGCGUUAUCGAAGCGCCGCACCAUCUAUAACCUGAGCAACAAGCUUUCACAGAGCCACAAGGAGGUCAUCGAGAUCAUCGAGGGCACCAUUCGUGAAUGCCCCUCCUCGUUCAAUAUCAAGAGCUCCACUGUCGUCAUCCUGUUCGGCGCGGACCACCAAAAGGUUUGGGACAUCGUGAAGGCGGCGCUCAAGAAGGUGACAUCAGAGGAGCAGUACGCGCAGAGUGAGAUGAAGGUGAACAACUCCUUCGCCGCGGGGGCCGGCACCAUUCUGUUCUACGAGGAUGGCGCAGCCAUCAAGAUGCAGCAGAAGGCGUUCCCGAGGUAUGCCGCAAACGUCCCGACCUUUUCGCAGCAAUCGUCCGCGAUGGCCCAGUUUGCGGUGUGGUCAGCGCUGGCACAGGACGGCAUUGGCGCGUCGCUGCAGCACUACAACGAGCUAAUCGAGGCGGACCUGCGCGCCGCAUUCGACGUUCCAGAGGAGUGGCAGCUGAUUGCCCAGAUGCCCUUUGGCUCCAUCGAGACACCAGCCGACAAGAAGGCACGCAACUCUGACGAGGGCCGCGUUGUCGUGCGCGGCGCAUAGAGGUGAAACGGAAACAGGAGGUAGGAGAAGUGCAACAGCUUCGAAUGUGUGUGUACGUCUGCGCGCCACGCACUCAUACAACAUAGUCCCUGAACGGAGUGUCUUUGAUGUGCUGCGAAACUCCUCUCUCUCGCGUCUUCUAUGACCGCAGUCGGUUUCGAUACGUGCGGGCCGCUCCUGUGGUUCGUCGUCUCCUCGUCUCCCCGUCAGAUCGCGCUGCUUUUCCUUCUGUUUUCCCCUGUCGACAUGCGAAAGCAACCUAACCCUCAUCCCCUCCCCAUGUCCCCAUCCCCUCACCCCCUUCGCCGCACCCUCAUCACAGCGUCUAUUCCAUACAUGUAUGUAUCUCUCGCACUCCCCCCCUCCUCCUCCUCUGUCUCUCGCUCUUUGUCUUUCUGUCCAGAUCCGGUUGGCGCUGUCUUUGUUUUGCCUUUUGUUGUUUAUCGUUCUCCCCCUCCCCCUCCGUCUCUCUGUACACUCUCUGUGUUCCACCCACCCACCCCCCUCACCCUCUCUCUCAGCUUUUCUCUGCGUCGGUGGCUCUUCGGUUGUAUUCCUUCCGCGACUAGACGCCAGACGUGUUCUUCCCGUUGUUGUCUCUCACCCUCAACCCUCCGCCUCUGCGCCGCCGUCCUCUCUCUCUCUCUUCCUCUGAUUCCUUAUGUGGCCCCUUUUGAGAGGUAUCCUGGUAGAUGUACAUAGAUACGUACAUAAAUACAUACCUGCGUAGAUAUCUAUAUAUAUAUAUAUAGUUGUUUGUCGGUGCAUGGCGACCGUGCUGCAGACACGACAUUUGCGCUUGGGUCGGGGGGACUGGCUCACUGUUAAACGUCCCCUACACGUCUAUGCGGUGGUGGCUGUGCUCGCAGCCGUUGCCUUCUUUUUCUUUCUUUUUUUUUCGUGUGUGGGGGGGGGGGCUCUGCCGGACGCACGCGUUCAUACGGCCUCCUACCCGCUUCUCUAGCGACGGGCACGAGUGCUUAAACCGCAAAGGCAGGGAGGUCAUCGACGAGGACCCUGGUCAGUGUGCCAUCAGCGCUCUUACCUCUCCGCCUUGCUUCACUUUCACGCUUCACACAUCUUUUUUUUUAGCUCGUACGUGUUUGCGAUUUCGUCUGGAGCGGUUGCGUUUUAUACACAUACACCCACACACACACCCUAGCUUUUCGUUUUUCUUACGCUUUCACUUCUUCCUCUGUGCGGGUGUAGAGGGAACGGUGGCGGACUCGCCGUCGCUCCUCUCCCUUUCGCUGCUCGAACUCCUCACAUUACUCACACAUCCCGUCACCCUCUACCUCGUCUCCCACCUUGGGUGACUCCAAGGCGAUCCGGCGCGCAAGGUGUGGAGAAGAGAGGGAGACAGACGCGCGAAGCGACAACGACCGAGGGCGGAGUGAGGACAAAGAAGAUGUGGCUUACGCACCCCUGUUCUUUCUAGCCGCCUUCGGUUUUCACCUCCAUCGCCUCAUCCCGUACGGCUCUUCUUUUUUUUUUUCGCUUUUUGUCUGCGCCCCAUCCCCGGCCCCCUCCAAUCCCCUCAUUCCCCCUCCCCCUUUUAACCGUCGAUCGUGGCGUGCACCGUGCUGUUCGGUUGCUGUUUUCACCUGCAUCUGUGUCUGCGGAUGGAAACUUGUACCGGGCACAAGAGCGGGCGGGCGGGCGAGAGAGAGAGAUGGGAAUGAGGGAAGAGGCUCAUCGCAUCGGUGAUGCGUUCUGUCCCUCUUUCUGCUUUUCCUCGCAUUGCUCUCUUUAUCCUGUGAAAGGGAGGCUGAAGUACGCUGGCGCCAGCACCGUGCGCUUCUGCGCGCAAACAACCACACCGACACGCACGUAGGAAAAAAGGAGGAAAAGCGAAAACGUACACACCGACAGCCGUACGAGGACGCGUUAGGCAAACCUGCGGAAAUGACACACAUGCCAACUUGCACGCAUACUUCUUUUCGCCCCUCUCUUUCUGCGCGUGCGUCGCUGUGCAUCAGAGGGUGUAUCUGUGGACUAAAGUUGCACGGCGUUUUUGUCGCAUGUCUUCACGCACGGCCACCUUUUCCGUGUUGUUUCGGAAGCGAAGGAAAGGCGAACGCGAGCAUCCCACUUUGCGGAGGGAACCCGAACAAGAGUAGUAGCUGCCAAACGAAAGGGGUGCAUGGAACGCUCUGAACGACUCGGUGGCUGACGCUCCAAGAGCGAGACACACAC